This 425-nucleotide unclassified non-coding RNA is filed under the name uncultured Saccharomycodaceae. RNAcentral's name for it is "sequence contains ITS2". The stretch from base 1 to 154 matches the Rfam family "5.8S ribosomal RNA". The record is from RNAcentral. Lineage: Eukaryota; Fungi; Ascomycota; Saccharomycetes.
AACUUUUGGCAACGGAUCACUUGGUUCUCGCAUCGAUGAAGAACGUAGCGAAUUGCGAUAAGUAAUGUGAAUUGCAGAUACUCGUGAAUCAUUGAAUUUUUGAACGCACAUUGCGCUCUCAGGUAUUCCUGGGAGCAUGCCUGUUUGAGCGUCAUUUCCUUCUCAAAAGAUUUUAUUUUUUGGUAGUGAGCGAUACUCAGGGUUAGCUUGAAAUUGAAGAUUUUCUAAUCUUUGAUAAUUCAACACUUAGCUUCUUUGGAGACGCUGUUCUCGCUGUGAUGUAUUUAUGGAUUCGUCUAUUAUUACAUUUGCAAGGGAUUCGGUAAAGUACCUUAGGCAAAGAGUUGCUUUUAAUACUCAUCAAGUUUGACCUCAAAUCAGGUAGGAUUACCCGCUGAACUUAAGCAUAUCAAUAAGCGGAGGCU